This 454-nucleotide ribosomal RNA is filed under the name Cercopithifilaria rugosicauda. RNAcentral's name for it is "partial 12S ribosomal RNA". The record is from RNAcentral. Lineage: Eukaryota; Metazoa; Nematoda; Chromadorea; Rhabditida; Onchocercidae.
UUUUUGUUAUUAGUAUAUUUUAUAUCUUUCUUUUGUAAAAUAUUUAGAUUUUUGAUAGGGUUUGGAAAGGAAUUUAAAAUUUGUUUUUUGAACUGGAUUAGUACCCAGGUAAACAAAGUUUAUUAAUACGGGAGUAAAGUUUUGUUUAAACCGAAAAAAUAUUGACUGACUUUGGAUUUUUCUUUGGAAUAUGUAUUUUUUGGAUGGCCCUCCUUUUUGGUAGAUUUUGUUGGCACAUGUAUGAUUGUUUAGUUUUUGUUUUUUCUUGUGAUGCUUUUCUUUUUGGUUGAAAAACAGAUAGAUAUUUGGCUUAUAAAUUUUGUUUUAUGUAUUACUAUUUUAAAUUUUUUUUGGAUAUUUUUAUUGAAUUUUUUAUUGAAAUUGGAAAAGAAAGUAAUUUUUUUUUAAUGUGGUUGUGAAUUUAAUAAGUGAAGUGGUACAAACCAUCCGUCAA